CAGAGUAGGGACAGCGCGUCAAGUGCCGGCCGGAUGGGAGGUUGCCGCCGGACGAAAGGAGUAAGAUCCUGCGUUGCUGUGCUCGCAUCCGCUGC
This 95-nucleotide non-coding RNA is filed under the name human gut metagenome. RNAcentral's name for it is "THF riboswitch". It matches the Rfam family "THF (Tetrahydrofolate) riboswitch aptamer". From Rfam's summary of the family: THF riboswitch presents a pseudoknot that joins P1-P2 and the loop of P3 and two THF binding. The record is from RNAcentral.